Molecule: long non-coding RNA, 154 nt
Organism: Sapajus apella (tufted capuchin)
Lineage: Eukaryota; Metazoa; Chordata; Mammalia; Primates; Cebidae
Exons: 3
Source: RefSeq, a predicted model, not a curated record
GUUUAUUGAGUAAUCAUCAAAUUUUUUCUCGCCUUCUUUGUUCUUUAAAACUCUUUCCCCAGCUUUUGGGAUGCUGCAAUUUUCAGAAUCUUGCUCUGUUGUCCAGGCCGGAGUGCAGUGGCAUGAUCAUAGCUCACUGCAGCCUUGAAUUCCU